This 519-nucleotide ribosomal RNA is filed under the name Triticum aestivum (bread wheat). Its description in RNAcentral is "partial small subunit ribosomal RNA". Lineage: Eukaryota; Viridiplantae; Streptophyta; Magnoliopsida; Poales; Poaceae. The record is from RNAcentral.
AUGGAGAACCCACUGGUGCCGGCGGUGCUCGACAACCCGCCCCUCCUCCUCGACAACCCCGACCUGGCCGACACCCUUCUCCACCGCGCCUUUGCAGACCUCCGGCGGAACAACGUCCUCGCCUUGCAGGCAGCCGUCUGUCUCUUGCAAGGCUUGCACUUGGAGGCCGAGCUCCGGACCCUCCCCGCGCCCACGGAAGACCAGAGGCUCGAGCGCGCCGCUGUCGACGCGGUGCUUGAUGCGCUCGUGGCCAGCAUCGACUCCCUCACGGACCAGCAGUGGGCGCUCAUCCGGCUCGUCGGGUUGCUCUUCGUGGUCCGGGCGGCCGCCUCCGCCAGGAGCCGCGCGCACCUCCUCCCCGGCCUGCUCCUCGCGGCCGUCUUGGUGUCUGUGGUCAUGUACGUCUCGACGGGAGGCGCCGUGGUGCCGGGGUUCAGGAGCUUCGUCGGGUUCUCGCUGUCCGUCGACUUGCCUUCGGAUUCUUCUCCAGUCUCAUCGUCUGCGUCGCUAUCGUUGUGA